This 389-nucleotide ribosomal RNA is filed under the name uncultured bacterium. RNAcentral's name for it is "bacterial SSU rRNA". It matches the Rfam family "Bacterial small subunit ribosomal RNA", at positions 30 to 420 of the family's 1533-position model. The record is from RNAcentral.
AUUGAACGCUGGCGGCAUGCCUUACACAUGCAAGUCGAACGGCAGCACGGGAGUAAUCCUGGUGGCGAGUGGCGAACGGGUGAGUAAUAUAUCGGAACGUGCCCAGUCGUGGGGGAUAACGUAGCGAAAGCUACGCUAAUACCGCAUACGAUCUAUGGAUGAAAGCGGGGGAUCGCAAGACCUCGCGCGAUUGGAGCGGCCGAUAUCAGAUUAGGUAGUUGGUGAGGUAAAGGCUCACCAAGCCGACGAUCUGUAGCUGGUCUGAGAGGACGACCAGCCACACUGGGACUGAGACACGGUCCAGACUCCUACGGGAGGCAGCAGUGGGGAAUUUCCGCAAUGGGCGAAAGCCUGACGGAGCAAUACCGCGUGAGGGAAGAAAGCCUACU